GAGUUUGAUCGUGGCUCAGAUUGAACGCUGGCGGCAGGCCUAACACAUGCAAGUCGAGCGGAUGACGGGAGCUUGCUCCUUGAUUCAGCGGCGGACGGGUGAGUAAUGCCUAGGAAUCUGCCUGGUAGUGGGGGACAACGUUUCGAAAGGAACGCUAAUACCGCAUACGUCCUACGGGAGAAAGCAGGGGACCUUCGGGCCUUGCGCUAUCAGAUGAGCCUAGGUCGGAUUAGCUAGUUGGUGGGGUAAUGGCUCACCAAGGCGACGAUCCGUAACUGGUCUGAGAGGAUGAUCAGUCACACUGGAACUGAGACACGGUCCAGACUCCUACGGGAGGCAGCGGUGGGAAUAUUGGACAAUGGGCGAAAGCCUGAUCCAGCCAUGCCGCGUGUGUGAAGAAGGUCUUCGGGAUUGUAAAGCACUUUAAGUUGGGAGGAAGGGCAGUAAGUUAAUACCUUGCUGUUUUGACGUUACCGACAGAAUAAGCACCGGCUAACUCUGUGCCAGCAGCCGACCG
Molecule: ribosomal RNA, 517 nt
Filed under: bacterium enrichment culture clone ALO1_GLFRUDD03GC3MF
Lineage: Bacteria
Description: bacterial SSU rRNA
Rfam family: Bacterial small subunit ribosomal RNA
Source: RNAcentral